CCUACGGGAGGCAGCAGUGGGGAAUAUUGCGCAAUGGGCGAAAGCCUGACGCAGCGACGUCGCGUGAGGGAUGAAGGUCUUCGGAUCGUAAACCUCUGUCUGCAGGGAAGUACGGUCACUGUGCUAAUCAGCAGUGCAUUUACGGUACCUGUAAAGGAAGCAUCGGCUAACUCCGUCCCAGCAGCCGCGGGAAUACGGAGGGUGCGUGCGUUAAUCGGAUUUACUGGGCGUAAAGGGCUCGUAGGCGGUAUGUCAAGUCAAGGGUGAAAUCCCCGGGCUCAACGUGGGGACUGCCUUUGAAACUGGCAAACUGGAGUGUGGGAGAGGAUAGUGGAAUUCGAGGUGUAGGAGUGAAAUCCGUAGAUAUCUGGAAGAACAUCGGUGGCGAAGGCGACUAUCUGGCACAUAACUGACGCUGAGGAGCGAAAGCGUGGGUAGCAAACAGGAUUAGAUACCCCAGUAGUC
This 465-nucleotide ribosomal RNA is filed under the name uncultured bacterium. RNAcentral describes it as "partial 16S ribosomal RNA". It matches the Rfam family "Bacterial small subunit ribosomal RNA", at positions 338 to 795 of the family's 1533-position model. The record is from RNAcentral.